Molecule: ribosomal RNA, 484 nt
Filed under: uncultured bacterium
Lineage: Bacteria
Description: partial 16S ribosomal RNA
Rfam family: Bacterial small subunit ribosomal RNA
Source: RNAcentral
AUUGAACGCUGGCGGCAGGCCUAACACAUGCAAGUCGAGCGGAUGAAGGGAGCUUGCUCCUGGUUUCAGCGGCGGACGGGUGAGUAAUGCCUAUGAAUAUGCCUGGUAGUGGGGGAUAACGUCCGGAAACGGGCGCUAAUACCGCAUACGUCCUGAGGGAGAAAGUGGGGGAUCGUCGGACCUCACGCUCGCAGGUGGGCCUAGGUCGGAUUAGCUAGUUGGUGGGGUAAAGGCCUACCAAGGCGACGAUCCGUAACUGGUCUGAGAGAAUGAUCAGUCACACGGGAAGUGAGACACGGUCCAGACUCCUACGGGAGGCAGCAGUGGGGAAUAUUGGACAGUGGGCGAAAGCCUGAUCCAGCCAGGCCGCGUGUGUGAAGAAGGUCUUCGGAUUGUAAAGCAGGUUAAGUUGGGAGGAAGGGCAGUAAGUUAAUACCUUGCUGUUUUGACGUUACCAACAGAAUAAGCACCGGCUAACUUCGUG